CCUACGGGAGGCAGCAGUGAGGAAUAUUGGUCAAUGGCCGUAAGCCUGAACCAGCCAAGUCGCGUGAAGGAAGACGGCUCUAUGGGUUGUAAACUUCUUUUGUAGGGGAGUAAAUGUAUCCACGUGUGGGUAUUUGCAUGUAACCUAUGAAUAAGCAUCGGCUAACUCCGGUCCAGCAGCCGCGGUAAUUAGGGGGAUUCGAGCGUUUUCCGGAUUUUAUGGGUUUAAAGGGGUCGGAGGUUGGUAUUUAAGUCAGGGGUGAAAGUUUGUGGCUAAAACAUAAAAGUGCCGUUGAAACUGAAGGACUUGAGUGUGUUUGAGGUAGGCGGAAUGCGUGGUGUAGCGGUGAAAUGCAUAGAUAUCACGCAGAACUCCGAUUGCGAAGGCAGCUUACUAAGCCAUAACUGACACUGAAGCACGAAAGCGUGGGGAUCAAACAGGAUUAGAUACCCUAGUAGUC
Molecule: ribosomal RNA, 460 nt
Filed under: uncultured bacterium
Lineage: Bacteria
Description: partial 16S ribosomal RNA
Rfam family: Bacterial small subunit ribosomal RNA
Source: RNAcentral